GGGGAUAUUUACAUAAGACGAGAAGACCCCAUGGAGCUUUAAACCCGAUGUCACCCAUUUUCCUCUACACCCUAAUAUUCAAUUUGGCCCUGCCCUGUCGGUUUUAGGUUGGGGUGACCACGGAGUAUAAUAUACCCUCCAUGAAAAAGGGAGUAAUAAUCCUUAUUAGAGAACAACACUUCUAAAAAUUAAAACAUUAAUUUAUAAUGAUCCGAUAUUCGAUCAACGAACCAAGUUACCCUGGGGAUAACAGCGCAAUCUGCCUCAAGAGCCCCUAUCGACAGGCGGGUUUACGACCUCGAUGUUGGAUCAGGGCAUCCCAGUGGUGCAGCAGCUACUAAAGGUUCGUUUGUUCAACGAUUAAAACCCU
This 370-nucleotide ribosomal RNA is filed under the name Boophis marojezensis. RNAcentral's name for it is "partial 16S ribosomal RNA". It matches the Rfam family "Bacterial large subunit ribosomal RNA", at positions 2076 to 2597 of the family's 2925-position model. Lineage: Eukaryota; Metazoa; Chordata; Amphibia; Anura; Mantellidae. The record is from RNAcentral.